AUUGAACGCUGGCGGAAUGCUUUACACAUGCAAGUCGAACGGUAGAGGGGGCAACCCCUUGAGAGUGGCGAACGGGUGAGUAAUAUAUCGGAACGUGCCCAGUCGUGGGGGAUAACGUAGUGAAAAUUACGCUAAUACCGCAUACGAUCUAAGGAUGAAAGCGGGGGAUCGCAAGACCUCGCGCGAUUGGAGCGGCCGAUAUCAGAUUAGGUAGUUGGUAGGGUAAAGGCCUACCAAGCCAACGAUCUGUAGCUGGUCUGAGAGGACGACCAGCCACACUGGACCUGAGACACGGUCCAGACGCCUACUGGAGGCAGCAGUGGGGAAUUUUGGACAAUGGGCGAAAGCCUGAUCCAGCCAUUCCGCGUGCAGGAUGAAGGCCCUCGGGUUGUAAACUGCUUUUGUACAGAACGAAAAGGUCUCUAUUAAUACUAGGGGCUCAUGACGGUACUGUAAGAAUAAGCACCGGCUAACUACGUGCCAGCAGCCGCCGUAA
Molecule: ribosomal RNA, 496 nt
Filed under: uncultured bacterium
Lineage: Bacteria
Description: partial 16S ribosomal RNA
Rfam family: Bacterial small subunit ribosomal RNA
Source: RNAcentral